RNAcentral lists this ribosomal RNA (296 nucleotides) under Calapnita deelemanae. Its description in RNAcentral is "partial 12S ribosomal RNA". Lineage: Eukaryota; Metazoa; Arthropoda; Arachnida; Araneae; Pholcidae. The record is from RNAcentral.
GGAGCUAUCAACAACCACUAUAUAAUGGCGGUCAUCAUUAAUUAAAGAAACUCGCUUUACAAUCGUAAACACCCGAUAAAUCUAACUUAAUGUCUAAAGUUUAUAUACCGCCGUUAAGAAUUUACUAAAAAAAUAAUUCACUAACUUAUAAUAACCAAAAAUCAGGUCCAGGUGUAACCUAUCAUUAAGAAAAAGUAAGUUACAUUAAAUAAAAUUUAAGAAAAUAAUAAUAAAAACCACAAUAGAAAUCGAAUUUAUAUGUACAAUCUAAUUAAAAUAUAGUUUAGAAAUAAAAA